UGAGCCAUUAGCUCAGCUGGUAGAGCAACUGACUUGUAAUCAGUAGGUUGGGGGUUCAAGUCCUCUGGCCGGC
RNAcentral lists this transfer RNA (73 nucleotides) under Staphylococcus aureus. Its description in RNAcentral is "tRNA-Thr(tgt)". The stretch from base 9 to 66 matches the Rfam family "tRNA", at positions 8 to 63 of the family's 71-position model. Rfam says of the family: Transfer RNA (tRNA) molecules are approximately 80 nucleotides in length. Their secondary structure includes four short double-helical elements and three loops (D, anti-codon, and T loops). Lineage: Bacteria; Bacillati; Bacillota; Bacilli; Caryophanales; Staphylococcaceae. The record is from RNAcentral.